Molecule: ribosomal RNA, 680 nt
Filed under: Mucor sp.
Lineage: Eukaryota; Fungi; Mucoromycota; Mucoromycetes; Mucorales; Mucoraceae
Description: partial large subunit ribosomal RNA
Rfam family: Eukaryotic large subunit ribosomal RNA
Source: RNAcentral
AUGAUUUCCCUAGUAACGGCGAGUGAAGAGGAAAGAGCUCAAAGUUGGAACCUGUCUGGCUUAGCUAGACCGGAUUGUAAACUGUAGAAGUGUUUUCCAGGCACGCCAGGUAAAUAAGUCCUUUGGAACAGGGCAUCAUAGAGGGUGAGAAUCCCGUCUUUGGCCUGAGCAGUUGUCUAUUGUGAUACACUUUCAAAGAGUCAGGUUGUUUGGGAAUGCAGCCUAAAUUGGGUGGUAAAUCUCACCUAAAGCUAAAUAUUUGCGAGAGACCGAUAGCGAACAAGUACCGUGAGGGAAAGAUGAAAAGAACUUUGAAAAGAGAGUUAAACAGUAUGUGAAAUUGUUAAAAGGGAACCGUUUGGAGCCAGACUGGCUUGACUGUAAUCAAUCUAGGUUUCGACCUGGAUGCACUUGCGGUCUUUUGCCUGCCAACGACAAUUUGAUUUGGGGGAAAAAACAUUGAGGAAUGUGGCCUUUCGGGGUGUUAUAGCCUCUUUGAAAAUACCCUGGAUUGGAUUGAGGAACGCAGCGGAUGCCUUUAGGCAAGAUGGCUGGGCGCUUUUGCUGAUAGAUGCUAGAAUUUCUGCUUCGGGUGGUGCUAGUGUUUAAAAGUAAAACUCGUUUAGUUUAUUUUUUAUCCGCUUAGGUUGUUGGCUUAAUGACUCUAAAUGACCCGUCUU